This 797-nucleotide ribosomal RNA is filed under the name Streptococcus thermophilus. RNAcentral describes it as "bacterial SSU rRNA". It matches the Rfam family "Bacterial small subunit ribosomal RNA", at positions 34 to 803 of the family's 1533-position model. The record is from RNAcentral. Lineage: Bacteria; Bacillati; Bacillota; Bacilli; Lactobacillales; Streptococcaceae.
CAUUGGGGGGCGUGGCCUAAUACAUGCAAGUAGAACGCUGAAGAGAGGAGCUUGCUCUUCUUGGAUGAGUUGCGAGACGGGUGAGUAACGCGUAGGUAACCUGCCUUGUAGCGGGGGAUAACUAUUGGAAACGAUAGCUAAUACCGCAUAACAAUGGAUGACACAUGUCAUUUAUUUGAAAGGGGCAAUUGCUCCACUACAAGAUGGACCUGCGUUGUAUUAGCUAGUAGGUGAGGUAAUGGCUCACCUAGGCGACGAUACAUAGCCGACCUGAGAGGGUGAUCGGCCACACUGGGACUGAGACACGGCCCAGACUCCUACGGGAGGCAGCAGUAGGGAAUCUUCGGCAAUGGGGGCAACCCUGACCGAGCAACGCCGCGUGAGUGAAGAAGGUUUUCGGAUCGUAAAGCUCUGUUGUAAGUCAAGAACGGGUGUGAGAGUGGAAAGUUCACACUGUGACGGUAGCUUACCAGAAAGGGACGGCUAACUACGUGCCAGCAGCCGCGGUAAUACGUAGGUCCCGAGCGUUGUCCGGAUUUAUUGGGCGUAAAGCGAGCGCAGGCGGUUUGAUAAGUCUGAAGUUAAAGGCUGUGGCUCAACCAUAGUUCGCUUUGGAAACUGUCAAACUUGAGUGCAGAAGGGGAGAGUGGAAUUCCAUGUGUAGCGGUGAAAUGCGUACAUAUAUGGAGGAAACACCGGGUGGCGAAAGCGGCUCUCUGGUCUGUAACUGACGCUGAGGCUCGAAAAGCGUGGGGAAGCGAACAGGGAUUAGAUACCCCUGGGUAAUCCCACGCCGG